UCUCUACAUCACCUUCUUAUGCUUCACAAGUCUUUCAUUCGAGCAAUUGUGCUUAGUAGUAGCUUGUGAAGAAUGUAAAACUUCACGGUCCAGUUCCAGAUAAGUCUACUUUUAGCAAAUCCUAGUAGAAGACAGUAGCAUUAUGAGAAUCUGAUGAUUCUCUUUUACAUCAAGUACUUUAGUAUGUGUACUAUAUGUUCUUUAGGGUCUUUACAUAUGCACUAAUGGUAGUUCAUGAAGCUUGAAACUG
Molecule: unclassified non-coding RNA, 250 nt
Filed under: Hevea brasiliensis (rubber tree)
Lineage: Eukaryota; Viridiplantae; Streptophyta; Magnoliopsida; Malpighiales; Euphorbiaceae
Source: RNAcentral